RNAcentral lists this ribosomal RNA (253 nucleotides) under uncultured bacterium. RNAcentral's name for it is "partial 16S ribosomal RNA". It matches the Rfam family "Bacterial small subunit ribosomal RNA", at positions 524 to 776 of the family's 1533-position model. The record is from RNAcentral.
GACGUAGGGCGCGAGCGUUGUCCGGAUUUAUUGGGCGUAAAGAGCCCGUAGGCGGCUUGUCGCGUCGUCCGUGAAAACUCACAGCUCAACUGUGAGCUUGCGGUCGAUACGGGCAGGCUAGAGUUCGGUAGGGGAGACUGGAAUUCCUGGUGUAGCGGUGAAAUGCGCAGAUAUCAGGAGGAACACCGGUGGCGAAGGCGGGUCUCUGGGCCGAUACUGACGCUGAGGAGCGAAAGCGUGGGGAGCGAACAGG